UGAACAAAUGACUUAAAGCUG
RNAcentral lists this non-coding RNA (21 nucleotides) under Caenorhabditis elegans. The record is from RNAcentral. Lineage: Eukaryota; Metazoa; Nematoda; Chromadorea; Rhabditida; Rhabditidae.